This is a long non-coding RNA of Bubalus bubalis (water buffalo), 302 nucleotides long. RefSeq lists it as uncharacterized. The record is from RefSeq and is a predicted model, not a curated record. Lineage: Eukaryota; Metazoa; Chordata; Mammalia; Artiodactyla; Bovidae. The transcript is spliced from 2 exons.
CCUGUUUGUGUCUUAAGAAAAUAUAGAAGCUUUGUCAGAUGCCCACAGAAGUCCAGAAUUGUAAUAAGACGGCACUGCCCACUGUCAGAGGGCAUCCUGAGCCAUCUCUGAGGCUCUGCCUCUGCAUCUCGAGGCUUUCAGCUGCCAUCCUUACAUCCACGGAGUAGAAUGGAUGAUUUUAACCUUGAGUAAUUACCAGAAAAGAAACCCUUGCAACCAAAGAUUGCCAUCAAGAGGCCAGGACCGUUCAUACUGACUGCAUAAAAAACAAUAGAAAGGCCCCAAAACGAUAAUUAAAUGUA